This 82-nucleotide transfer RNA is filed under the name Acidobacteriota bacterium. RNAcentral describes it as "Acidobacteria bacterium tRNA-Leu". It matches the Rfam family "tRNA". Rfam says of the family: Transfer RNA (tRNA) molecules are approximately 80 nucleotides in length. The record is from RNAcentral. Lineage: Bacteria; Pseudomonadati; Acidobacteriota.
GCGAAAGUGGCGGAACUGGCAGACGCGCGGGACUUAGGAUCCCGUCCCUUCGGGGGUGGGGGUUCAAAUCCCCCCUUUCGCA